AGUUCACCCUGCAGGAAAAUCAGAGCUGACAGUUUUGUAAAUCACAGCAUAUGUGUGGAGGAAAACCUAAGCUGGCGGCGCUCAUUCUGCACCACAUUCCACGCCGUCCAGCAGCCAUACGUCUCUCAGGCUCUGCUCUUUCUCUGCAAUCACAGUUUGGAGCCGAAUACCAAAGUGGACCGCACCUCAUGCUAAACCGAGUAAACAAGUCCGAACGCUCGCAGUGACCAGACUCAGCUUCACCUGGUUAUAUAACGGGAAUGCGUCCAUACAGACUAAAACCAAAGAAAGUUGGACGUCUUUAGAAAAACACUGGCCUACAGCUGAAGGGCCGCCGCUCUCUGCAGCACACGCUGCCCUACAUACUCUGACUGAACUUCCCUCCCCAUGCUUAGUGCGUCUUCCUCCAAAUAUAAUAGAAAAAUGAAUCCAUGCUAAUGGCCAGAGGUUAUAUUUUCCACGCUGUCUCUGCGCAGCUCUGCAGAAACACAAUAGCAUGCAAUCAUGUAGGUAGGGCUCCAUUUGCCUGAUGAUAAUUGCCAACCUUUGCUCAUCAGGAUGCUCGAUUGGCUCACCCGCAGCACGGAUCAUGUUCUGCUGCUGACAAACAUCUGACUUCUGACCUCAGCUUCUAUCCACCCUCUCAUCUUCUUCUGGUGGUGACUAAUGGUGAAUCAUAAUGACGGUCUGCAAAAGGCUGAAAUUUAAGCGUUAGGGCUCCGUUUGUGUGUAACCACGUUUUCCCAAGGUUAAAUAAAGUUUGGCUGAACUUCAAAGCAGUUCUGAUGGUAACGUUAGCAGCAAAAGGAGGAGAAAAAUCUGGAGUUUGAUCAUUGAAAAAUUAUACAUUUCAUGUUUAGGUUACUCAAAAAAUAGUGUGUAAGCAUGAAGGAAUCUGAAAAAUAAUAUUGCCAUACAUUUACACGUGUUGUUUUGUGAUUGUUUAUUGUCUUAAGAUUAUAUGAAAUUCUGAAGUUGCAGUGAUGAGAAACAAUCAGAGCUUUACACGAGUCACUUGAGGUUCAAUUGGUACUCUGCGUUUUUAUUUUCUUUAAAAAGAAAAAGUCGCAUUUCUAUAUUCUGAAACGUCUUUAGCGACUUAUCCAGCUGGAUAGAGGAGCGGAUAAACCGAGGGGGAAAAAAAAGAGGAGGAACGGACUCCAAAGUUCACUGCAGAAAAUAGGUCAGCCGGUGUUAAUGUGCUUGAACUUUUGACCUGACGGGAGUGCAGCUAGUAGCUGAACAACAGACUCCUCUGACUGCUGGAAACCGACCACCGUCUCCUGAUGCAGAAUUAAAGAUUCUGCUUUAAUUUCAGUGAGGAACUGGCGAAAAAGCGGCGGAGUCACCGGGACGCGGAAAGGAAUCCACAAGAAGCUUGUCGGUAUUUACUUUGUAUUUUCAAAGCUAAAUGUUCCAUAAUCUCUUUCAGAUUUUCUGUCGUAACCCAAAUAUUUUUUUUUUCUCCCCCUUCGGUUGUUUGCGUCAUGUCUUUACGCCGCCUCUGACCUCAUUUCUGUCUGCAGAAAACCUCCAUUUAACAGGGCAAGCGGCUGCUCUCUGUUGUGUACACAAGAAACAAGAUGGCGGCGUACGGUACCUUACGUUCUGUUCGUCUCUUUCACUUUGCUUUGCUUUUCAUUAAGGCCGCCAGGUUGCUGUUUCUGUCCGUCUGCGAGUUUUUAACUCCACGCCUUUUUCCAGAUUGUUGGACAUUUCUCUGCAACAACAACAUCGAAAUGACGAUAAUGAAAACCCAGCCGUACAGCAAAUGAAAUAAUCUGACAAAAAUGAGCUCUGGUAGCGUGUUCCUCUCCUGUGUUUCUCUCCCUGUGAUUUUUUUAUUUUUUUUUUUGCCUUUUCCAACCCCCUGUUCUCUCUGCAGCAGGGCUCAUAAUAUCAGAUUGCACAGCCGGUCUUCGCCAAAUGUGAAUUUUAUACUCUAGUGAACACAGGCUUUACACUUUCAUUAGCUCACAUUCUCCUCAGCAGUGCAAAUGUCAUGUCGCUGGUUGGGGAGAGGGGGAAGGGAGUGAGUUUUCACUGCCCCUCAGAUGGCGGCGCAGGACUUCAGGGCGGGACGGGGAAAGCAUCCGGAUCGGACGUUUCCCCCCCAGGGUACGGAGGUUGCAGCCCAGCCGUUCAGAAAGGGACAGCUAAUUCAGAAUCUACCUCACUGAACACGUAUGGACGAUGUACAAACUAUGAAAGCAUGCAGAAAUACCAAACUGUUGUUGUGACAGGAUAAAUUUCUGUUCACGGAUCAUGCGUGUGUCACGAACAAAUUAUAUUAGUGCUGAGGACUUGAUGCAGACCUUAUUAUUGGACUAAUGUUCUCCUUGGGAGACGUUUACUUUUGUAUGAAAGGGUGAGGAAUAUUACUGAGGAAAAUUAAUUCAUAAGUUUGGAGCUUUAAUACAUAUGAAAUACGGAGAAGCUUCAAGGUUCAUCUGGUGGUUUUCACAUAGACCUGAAUCAUCAAGCAUUUACUUGAGUAGCAGCUGUACAACAACAUGAAGUAGGCAAAAAGAAAUGAAAAAGCUCCAAGUCAUGCUCCAAGCUAAAGAAACUAGAGAACAGAUGAGGAGUCUAACCAGUGACAUUUAAGUCUGGGAAAAGGUUUCAAAGCCAUUUUUAAAGUUUAGGAACUCCACUGAAUUGAAGUAAAAGAUGAUAUCUGCAAAAGGAGAAAUUAUUGAAGUACGAUCAACAUUUUAAGGCCAGAAUUUCUCCACAGCGAUGUUAAAGAAUCAUAAGCUGUGUUUCAACUGCAAAUGUGUGCAAAACUUUGCUGAAGUUCUGCUUAAGUCAUGAAAACACUAUUUCAACAUUGCAGUGUUCCCAUCAAAUAAAAAAUGAAUAAGUUAUUAAAAGCAUGCCGCGCCUUCGUCAGCCUUCAGCCACUUCCUGUUGUCUUCAUCAUUUCCACCAGUAGUAACAUCCGGGUUGUUGUUCAUAUGACUCGUGUUUCUGUUGCAGUUUUGUGAAUACGCUGUUUUCAAUAAAGCCAAAAAACCGCCUCCUAGCACAAAAACGUUUUAGAGAUAAACAUGAGUUUUUUAAGCAAAUUAAUUUUGGUAAUUGCAGUUUGCGCCUUUAUAUUUUCAUGUAACAGUUGUGAAAGCUUGAUGUUGCUACCAGUAGCAUUUGACGUUUACAGUUAAUUUUUCAAACAGGUUGGUUUGGACAACGUUUUCUUCCCCAAAUAAAUAAAAUCAUCCUCUGAAAAUAGCAGCUUGUGUUCAGUCAGGUAACUGUUUGAUAAUAAAACUGGUUUGAUUUUCUAAAAAUAAAAUAAAAAAAAGCAAAAAU
This is a long non-coding RNA of Gambusia affinis (western mosquitofish), 3312 nucleotides long. RefSeq lists it as uncharacterized. Lineage: Eukaryota; Metazoa; Chordata; Actinopteri; Cyprinodontiformes; Poeciliidae. The transcript has 2 exons. The record is from RefSeq and is a predicted model, not a curated record.